AGUAACAGUCAGCCUCCUUGAAUUGGCAGAAAUACUGUGACUUAGUAGUAAUACUAUAACAUAACAGAUAUACUGUGAUGUUGCAGACAUAGUAUGUUUUUGCACUACUCAUUUGUAGUGAAAAAAAUUAGCAAUAUAAAUUACAGAUCUGUGAUAGUGUAUAAAUUUGUAGUGAAAAAAAAAUGUUGACCAAGGUGGGAUUGAACCCACGACCUUUGAGCUGCAGAGCCGUGUCAUUACUAAUUGCGCCACCUGGAAAGUGGGCGGAGGGCUGAAAGAUAGAGAGUUGACCAGCAGUUGCUGAAAACAACUGAAAAAGCAGAAUUAUCUGCUAAAAAAGAGGUGUAGACGCGCUUGAUGGAGAUGGCUUUAUGUGUAAGGGUACACUGAAGAGUGUCAAGAAAGGAGAGUGCAUGCAAGCAGGGAAGAUGUGUAGCAACUGUCACAGGUAGGAUUUGAACCUCUGCCACCAGGACUCACAGCAGCUGCUCAACCCUCUGAGCCAAAUGAGGUCUGGUCACAAAGGGGGUGGGUGUCUAAAACACAGAGACUUGAGCAGUCAGAAUUAGAUCGCGGUGAGAGGCGAAAAACGCCCGUUUUUGGUGUUACAAAACGUCGUGUAACUCAAAAACUAGGAGGGCUAGCAGCAUAAUUCUUGUACUGGGUGAAUCAGCGGACUUUGGUGUAUUUUGACUGCAAUUUUCAUUGCUCUUUGUACCUCCGUCGCGGAGAUAUGACGAGAGAAGAAACGGCUUCAUUUUCAGAGUGUGAAAACUGAGAGGAGGACAGAUUUCCACCCCUCAAACAAACGUAAUUUAUGGCUCAACGGUAAGAUGAAUAUAAAAACUGCUUCCACUGUGAGUGUCAGCAGUGUCUGAAGAUAUAUUGGCACAAGCCUCAUGUCCUAACUUUGCUUUGUUAAGGAGAUACGGCGAUUUGAAAAUGCCUCCUGUUACAGAAUUUCAGCUCUGAAUUUCAAAACCUCCCCAUAGACUUUGAAUGGGGAGUAACCAGACCAUGUGUCACUUCGAGGCAAAUUGCGAAAAAACGGUAAAUCUCACAAUAAAGAUAGUAACAUUGUCUGAAAGGCCAGCAAAAAUACCUACGUUUUGAUGUAUAAUUUGUGGGGGUUGAGUGGAAAUUGAGCGAGUAGCAAGAAGUUGUUUAGACAUGAAGAGAAAAUUCAGAACGGACCAGCACUC
This 1202-nucleotide long non-coding RNA is filed under the name Oreochromis niloticus (Nile tilapia). RNAcentral's name for it is "lncRNA (ENSONIG00000035283.1)". The record is from RNAcentral. Lineage: Eukaryota; Metazoa; Chordata; Actinopteri; Cichliformes; Cichlidae.